Long non-coding RNA from Brienomyrus brachyistius, 1080 nucleotides. RefSeq lists it as uncharacterized. The record is from RefSeq and is a predicted model, not a curated record. The transcript has 3 exons. NCBI's taxonomy places the organism in Eukaryota, Metazoa, Chordata, Actinopteri, Osteoglossiformes, Mormyridae.
UGCGGGAGCAACUGCCUGCAAGCGAACAGGCUCGAGCUUGCACUACCUUAACCUUACAGCUGGAGUGCGCGAGCCACUGCCUGCACGCGAGCAGGCUUGAACCUGCACUACCACCUUACAGCUGGAGUGCGGGAGCAACUGCCUGCAAGCGAACAGGCUCGAGCAUGCACUACCACCUUACAGCUGGAGUGCGGGCGCCACUGGCCGCCCAUUAUGCAUAAACCAAGCCCGCACUAUGAAAAACCGAAGUGUCUGCUGCUAGUUCCAGUGUUUGCGUUGAGUGGAUUGCUACCAGGAAGCAAGUGACAUGAGCUUCUGGUAUUUUCCCUUCAGAAGCAGAGAGAGCAGGCGACAGUCUCCUGACAAACCAGCCAGGCUUUGAGAAAAACGCCUCAGAAUACAUUGACAUUAUACUACUGCUGACAGCCCAGAUGGGACAAAAAAUGAUUUUGUUUUUUGUAUCUCCUGGGAAUUUUCACAAGCAUGACUCCGCCUUUUUUUCGGGGUCCAGGAUGCAGCGCGGUCUGGAAGGUGUAGGGAUCGCAAGAGGAGGGAACAUCUGGGAGCGCUCCACGCUGAGUGUGACCUUUCAGUAGCUGUCCGAUGUGGCACCACACUGUAAACAUCAACAGCAUAUCAUCGCAUGCAAGUCACAUGCUUUGAUCUAAGGACUUUUGUUUGUUUUUGCUGAUUUACAAACAGAUUAUAUCCUGUUGAGGUAAGCGUAUGCAUCUCGGAUAAUAUAGACACACUGUAUGUGUCACCGCCUGGUUCUGUGGUCGAAAUUAUUUGAAACAUAACAAUUAUGUUGGCCUUGUUUUAAGGUUAAUGUUUCAGGUGUUCCAGGUGGCACUUGUGCAGUUUAUAUUUGCAGAGAGCUAUUAUGCUGUACAGGAUCUAUAAAGAACACAUGUAACAGAAUGCAGUACAGGUGUUUGCUUUUCAUUUGGCAAUGUUAAGCAGGUGGAGUUGCAUCUAAACCUGAUUCUGGGUGUCAGCAGCCAGAAAACAGUCCAAUCUACUGUGAGACAUCUCACAGCCUCGAUGCUGGCUAAUACAAUGCAAAUCUGUUUGAUGUAC